UUUUACAAGCUAAGCCAUGAUGGGGUCUAGUCACUAUUUGGAUGGGAGACCUCAAAGGAAAAUCCAGGUGUUGCAGAAA
Molecule: ribosomal RNA, 79 nt
Filed under: Chelonoidis abingdonii (Abingdon island giant tortoise)
Lineage: Eukaryota; Metazoa; Chordata; Testudines; Testudinidae
Source: RNAcentral